RNAcentral lists this ribosomal RNA (681 nucleotides) under uncultured bacterium. RNAcentral's name for it is "bacterial SSU rRNA". It matches the Rfam family "Bacterial small subunit ribosomal RNA", at positions 345 to 1020 of the family's 1533-position model. The record is from RNAcentral.
GGAGCAGCAGUAGGGAAUUUUUCACAAUGGGCGCAAGCCUUAUGAAGCAAUGCCGCGUGAACGAUGAAGGUCUUAUAGAUUGUACAGUUCUUUUAUAUGGGAAGAAACGCUAAGAUAGGAAAUGAUUUUAGUUUGACUGUACCAUUUGAAUAAGUAUCGGCUAACUAUGUGCCAGCAGCCGCGGUAAUACAUAGGAUGCAAGCGUUAUCCGGAUUUACUGGGCGUAAAACGAGCGCAGGCGGGUUUGUAAGUUUGGUAUUAAAUCUAGAUGCUUAACGUCUAGCUGUAUCAAAAACUGUAAACCUAGAGUGUAGUAGGGAGUUGGGGAACUCCAUGUGGAGCGGUAAAAUGCGUAGAUAUAUGGAAGAACACCGGUGGCGAAGGCGCCAACUUGGACUAUCACUGACGCUUAGGCUCGAAAGUGUGGGGAGCAAAUAGGAUUAGAUACCCUAGUAGUCCACACCGUAAACGAUCAUCAUUAAAUGUCGGCCCGAAUGGGUCGGUGUUGUAGCUAACGCAUUAAAUGAUGUGCCUGUGUAGCACAUUCGCAAGAAGUAACCCAAACGGAAUUGACGGGGACCCGCACAAGUGGUGGAGCAUGUUGCUUAAUUUGACAAUACACGUAGAACCUUACCUAGGUUUGACAUCUAUUGCGAUGYUAUAGAAAUAUAGUUGAGGUUA